UCCUACGGGGGGCAGCAGUGGGGAAUAUUGCACAAUGGGGGAAACCCUGAUGCAGCGACGCCGCGUGAAGGAAGAAGUAUUUCGGUAUGUAAACUUCUAUCAGCAGGGAAGAAAAUGACGGUACCUGACUAAGGAGCCCCGGCUAACUACGUGCCAGCAGCCGCGGUAAUACGUAGGGGGCAAGCGUUAUCCGGAUUUACUGGGUGUAAAGGGAGCGUAGACGGCAUUGCAAGUCUGAUGUGAAAGAUUGGGGCUCAACCCCAGGCCUGCAUUGGAAACUGUAAAGCUGGAGUACAGGAGAGGUA
This 305-nucleotide ribosomal RNA is filed under the name uncultured bacterium. RNAcentral describes it as "bacterial SSU rRNA". It matches the Rfam family "Bacterial small subunit ribosomal RNA", at positions 337 to 659 of the family's 1533-position model. The record is from RNAcentral.